This is a long non-coding RNA of Agrilus planipennis (emerald ash borer), 1490 nucleotides long. RefSeq lists it as uncharacterized. Lineage: Eukaryota; Metazoa; Arthropoda; Insecta; Coleoptera; Buprestidae. The transcript has 6 exons. The record is from RefSeq and is a predicted model, not a curated record.
UUUAAAAUUGUGUUCUUUUAUUUGCUCUUGGCUGCAUUUCAAUUUGAUUUUAUGCUCGUUCAUUUAAUAGUAUGAUUAAUUUGUUUUUUCUCGUUCUAUUAUAGAGAUUACCCGAUAAGUUAAGUUUAUUCUGAUACUGCCGGAAUAUCUACAGAUGGGAUAGGAUGGUGUGCAAUGGUGAAAUUCUACCUGCAUUAUUACCUGCAAAUAUGAUACCAUUGAUUGUAGGAGUCCUCUUCUCCAGAAAGUAGGAGUAUCCCAAGAAAUUCUAAAAGUGCCUUUUUGCCACAACAAAGACAUUACUUGUUCAUUUGUGGAAAUGAAUUAUCAACAUGAAUGGUAUACUACACAGAAGUUAACACAGUCAAGAGUACUCGGGAUGCCAUGUAUUAUGCGACAUUGGUUCCUCAUUCACUCUAGGUAGUAGAAGUACCUGAAGUCCUGAGGAGAGCGUGAAGGUGCCUUUUUUACAUUUGGAACAGAAACAGUGUGUUAUUGCUAAAGGAAAGAUUUAUGAAACUAUGAGACGGAUUGAUUGGUUAACAAAUGGGGGAGAUUGGAAAGUUAAUUUUAACCCUAACGAUGACUACAUGGGAUGUCUGCAUGGGUAUCCUUUCUGAAUUUGGUUUUCAUUCCACACAUGUAAACGUUGAAACAUUACAUUCUACAGCUAAUUCAGAUUGGCCAACAAUUAAGAGAGAUUGGAACUGAUAUCGUUGCUUACUGAAAAGAUAAGUCGUCUUUUAUGGUGUUUUAGCUGUUAACCUUUCAUCUUGGAGGCUCUUGUAGUUAAUUAAGGAACAUUAGGAGAACUCUGGAUACCUUUAAAUUAUGAAAUUAUGGAGCAUUGGUUGAAUUAGUUCUCAUUUGCCCUGCAAAGUAGCUAUGCCCAUGGUUCAUAAGAAAGCAUGAAACUGCCUUUUUUUCAUGGGGAACGAAGACAGUGUGCUGAAAAAGGAUUUAUGACAAUGAAGUGAUUGCUGUCCCACAAAUGAGAACGAAUUGCAGUUAAUUUUGGUGCUACUAAAACAACUGAUGCUUUUGACGUCUUCACCUUGCAACAUUAUGCAGUUAAUUUUUGCCGUAACAAUGGGAGGCAAUUGGAAAUUAACUAAUUUGGAUGCAACCGAAACAAGAAAUUAUCUGCAGUAGUAUCCCUCCUAGAUUUGGUUGAUUUGCUCAUCACACUGGUAGACUUUAGAACGCCACUUUCUACAAUUAAUUAAGGUUAUACGAUAAAUGAGAGGGAAUUAAUGUUCAGUAUGGUUAUACUGAAACAAUUCAUGUCUACAUGGGUGUGGUCUUUCCUGGAUUAUAUUCUUGAUUUGCUGUUUCGUCUUCGACUUGUAACAUCAUACAGUUAAUUUUCGACCCAUGAGCGAGUGCAACUGGAUAUUUAUUUGAAUUCCACUGAAAUAAGAAAUUCUCUGCUACAGUAUUCCUCCUCGAGUUGGUUUACUUUUCACACCUGUAAACUUUGGAAUGUUACG